RNAcentral lists this long non-coding RNA (285 nucleotides) under Physcomitrium patens. RNAcentral describes it as "long non-coding RNA (PPAT_LNC012525)". The record is from RNAcentral. Lineage: Eukaryota; Viridiplantae; Streptophyta; Bryopsida; Funariales; Funariaceae.
UAGGAAUAUAUAUUGGAAUCGAGGCUGAAAAGUUCUUCAGUCUCGACAAUACAUCUCUUGGAGCUCUAGCUCACGUCUCUGGUGUUAUUCUUGUAUUCAUCUGAUUAAUCUAGUUCUUGCCAGUUCUUCUUGAACUUCUUGUUAGAUCUCGAGUCUGUAUUUCUGUGUCCGUGACAAAAGGAUCCUAGGACCAUGUAUGUAAAAGUCAAAGAGUAGAAGUUGUCUUUUAGGGCAGCAACCACUACCUAUAAGUAAUGGGUAUUGGAAGUGAGAGAUAUAUUAUUC